CAGGCCUAACACAUGCAAGUCGAACGGUGUCUAGCAAUAGGCAUAGUGGCGCACGGGAUGCGUAACACGUAACUAACCUACCUAUAACUGGGGGAUAGCCCGCCGAAAGGCGGAUUAAUACCGCAUAAGCUCUUAAUCUGGCAUCAGGUUAUUAGUAAAGAUUUAUUGGUUAUAGAUGGGGUUGCGGGUCAUUAGCUAGUUGGUAAGGUAACGGCUUACCAAGGCGACGAUGACUAGGGGAGCUGAGAGGCUGGUCCCCCACACGGGCACUGAGAUACGGGCCCGACUCCUACGGGAGGCAGCAGUGGGGAGUAUUGGACAAUGGGCGAAAGCCUGAUCCAACAAUGCCGCGUGAGUGAUGAAGGCCUUACGGUUGUAAAGCUCUUUUACCCGGGAUGAUAAUGACAGUACCGGGAGAAUAAGCCCCGGCUAACUCCGUGCCAGCAGCCGCGGUAAU
RNAcentral lists this ribosomal RNA (457 nucleotides) under uncultured bacterium. RNAcentral describes it as "bacterial SSU rRNA". It matches the Rfam family "Bacterial small subunit ribosomal RNA", at positions 43 to 524 of the family's 1533-position model. The record is from RNAcentral.